AAUAAAUCUGUGAGAGGGAGAGUACUUGUUGCAAGACCACUCAGCGAGCCGGGGGAUGGUGUAAGCCCGGUGUGGAUGGCAGCAAGGAAGAUCACCCUUGAGUUCGGGUAUGAACGAUCUUGAGCGAGAUCGAGUAGUGCCCGACGUUGAUUCGCGUUAAGAUAAUCAUGAGUGGCAGACUAUAUCUUUACUCUGCUAUUAGGGUGGUACCGCGGUCCUUCCGUCCCUUUG
Molecule: non-coding RNA, 231 nt
Filed under: Sporolactobacillus inulinus
Lineage: Bacteria; Bacillati; Bacillota; Bacilli; Caryophanales; Sporolactobacillaceae
Description: T-box sequence
Rfam family: T-box leader
About the family: Uncharged tRNA acts as the effector for transcription antitermination of genes in the T-box leader family. T-boxes are found upstream of many aminoacyl-tRNA synthetase genes and some amino acid biosynthetic genes usually in Gram-positive bacteria. The anticodon of a specific tRNA base pairs to a specifier sequence within the T-box motif, and the NCCA acceptor tail of the tRNA base pairs to a conserved bulge in the T-box antiterminator hairpin.
Source: RNAcentral